This 777-nucleotide ribosomal RNA is filed under the name uncultured Neocallimastigales. RNAcentral's name for it is "partial large subunit ribosomal RNA". It matches the Rfam family "Eukaryotic large subunit ribosomal RNA", at positions 24 to 647 of the family's 3401-position model. The record is from RNAcentral. Lineage: Eukaryota; Fungi; Neocallimastigomycota; Neocallimastigomycetes; Neocallimastigales.
GUAGUCUCGCACAGAUGCAUAUCAAUAAGCGGAGGAAAAGAAACUAACAAGGAUUCCCCUAGUAACGGCGAGUGAAGCGGGAAGAGCUCAAACUUUGAAAUCUUAAAGGGUUUCCCUUUACGAAUUGUAGUUUAAAGAAGUGUUUUCUGUUGAGGUUUUGGUAAAAGUUCUUUGGAAUAGGACAUCAUAGAGGGUGAGAAUCCCGUAUUUGACCUUUACUUUCAACUUUGUGAUACACUUUCAAAGAGUCGGAUUGUUUGGGAAUGCAGUCCAAAAUGGGUGGUAAAUUUCAUCUAAAGCUAAAUAUUGGCGAGAGACCGAUAGCGAACAAGUACCGUGAGGGAAAGAUGAAAAGAACUCUGAAAAGAGAGUUAAACAGUACGUGAAAUUGUCAAAAGGGAAGCGUUUGACACCAGUGUUGUUUUUCUGAAAAUCAAUUAAAGAACUGUUUAUGCUAAGCUUGUUUAGACUUUAUCAGCUAUCUGCUUAGUUUUGAGCUUUUCUUUAAUGCACUUUUCAGUUAACAAGUCAACAUCAAUUUCUUUUGCUUGUAAAAAAGCUUGAGGAAGGUGGCUUGAGAUUCGUCUUAAGUGUUUAUAGCCUCUUGCCUAUGCAGUCGGAGAGAUUGAGGUCUGCAGCGUAGAUCCUUCGGGGCUAAAUGCAUUUGUGCUAAGUUAUAGCAUUUUAUAGACAACUUGUUGACUAUGAUUUGUCUUGUAGCUUACUCGCUUAUGUUAUUUUACCUACGCUUAGGAUGUUGACGCAUGAGAUAUACGC